RNAcentral lists this microRNA precursor (103 nucleotides) under Marmota monax (woodchuck). Lineage: Eukaryota; Metazoa; Chordata; Mammalia; Rodentia; Sciuridae. The record is from RNAcentral.
AGUGGGAUAGCUGGGUCAUAUGGUGGUUCCAUUCCAAAUUUUCUAAGGAAUCUCCAUAUAGGUUUCCAAAUUGGCUGCACCAAUUUGCAAUCCCAGCAGCAAU